GAUCAUGGCUCAGAUUGAACGCUGGCGGCAGGCCUAACACAUGCAAGUCGAACGGUAACAGGAAACAGCUUGCUGUUUCGCUGACGAGUGGCGGACGGGUGAGUAAUGUCUGGGAAACUGCCUGAUGGAGGGGGGAUAACUACUGGAAACGGUAGCUAAUACCGCAUAACGUCGCAAGACCAAAGAGGGGGGACCCUUCGGGCCUCUUGCCAUCGGAUGUGCCCAGAUGGGAUUAGCUAGUAGGG
Molecule: ribosomal RNA, 245 nt
Filed under: uncultured bacterium
Lineage: Bacteria
Description: partial 16S ribosomal RNA
Rfam family: Bacterial small subunit ribosomal RNA
Source: RNAcentral